AACGAACGCUGGCGGCAUGCCUAACACAUGCAAGUCGAACGCUUCUCUUCGGAGAGGAGUGGCGCACGGGUGAGUAACGCGUGGGAACCUGCCCCGGAGUGGGGGAUAACCCGGCGAAAGCCGGGCUAAUACCGCAUACGGCCUAUGGGCGAAAGAUUUAUCGCUCUGGGAGGGGCCCGCGUCCUAUUAGCUAGUUGGUGGGGUAACGGCCCACCAAGGCGACGAUCGGUAGCUGGUCUGAGAGGAUGAUCAGCCACACUGGGACUGAGACACGGCCCAGACUCCUACGGGAGGCAGCAGUGGGGAAUAUUGGACAAUGGGGGCAACCCUGAUCCAGCAAUGCCGCGUGAGUGAUGAAGGCCUUAGGGUCGUAAAGCUCUUUCGCACGCGACGAUGAUGACGGUAGCGUGAGAAGAAGCCCCGGCUAACUUCGUGCCAGCCGCCGCGGUAA
RNAcentral lists this ribosomal RNA (451 nucleotides) under uncultured bacterium. RNAcentral's name for it is "partial 16S ribosomal RNA". It matches the Rfam family "Bacterial small subunit ribosomal RNA", at positions 28 to 523 of the family's 1533-position model. The record is from RNAcentral.